AUACGGAGGAUGCGAGCGUUAUCCGGAUUUAUUGGGUUUAAAGGGUGCGUAGGCUGUGCGUUAAGUCAGGGGUGAAAUGCCGUCGCUCAACGACGGAGCUGCCCUUGAUACUGGCGUGCUGGAGUACGGAUGCCGUUGGAGGAAUGAGUGGUGUAGCGGUGAAAUGCUUAGAUAUCACUCAGAACACCGAUUGCGAAGGCAUCUGACGAAUCCGUCACUGACGCUGAGGCACGAAAGCGUGGGGAUAGAACAGGAUUGGAUACCCUGGUAUUCCACGCCGUAAACGAUGAUGACUAACCGUCGGCGAUAGACAGCCGGUGGCCAAGCGAAAGCGAUAAGUCAUCCACCUGGGGAGUACGUCGGCAACGAUGAAACUCAAAUGAAUUGACGGGG
RNAcentral lists this ribosomal RNA (393 nucleotides) under uncultured bacterium. RNAcentral's name for it is "partial 16S ribosomal RNA". It matches the Rfam family "Bacterial small subunit ribosomal RNA", at positions 523 to 918 of the family's 1533-position model. The record is from RNAcentral.